UACGUAGGGGGCAAGCGUUGUCCGGAAUCAUUGGGCGUAAAGAGCGUGUAGGCGGCCAGGUAGGUCUGCUGUGAAAACUCGAGGCUCAACCCCGAGACGUCGGCGGAAACCAUCUGGCUAGAGUCCGGAAGAGGAGAAUGGAAUUCCCGGUGUAGCGGUGAAAUGCGCAGAUAUCGGGAAGAACACCCGUGGCGAAGGCGGUUCUCUGGGACGGUACUGACGCUGAGACGCAAAAGCGUGGGGAGCGAACAGG
This 253-nucleotide ribosomal RNA is filed under the name uncultured bacterium. RNAcentral's name for it is "partial 16S ribosomal RNA". It matches the Rfam family "Bacterial small subunit ribosomal RNA", at positions 524 to 776 of the family's 1533-position model. The record is from RNAcentral.